GGGGGGGGGGGGGGGGGGGGGGGGGGGGGGCGGGGGGGGGGGGGGGGGGGGGAGGGGGCUGUGCUGGUGGUAGCGGCGGACGGGGGAGUAGCGCGUGGGUAACCUACCUAUAGGACUGGGAGACCUGCGGGGACCGGGAGUUAAUCCCGGAUAAUAUUUUGAACCGCAUGGUUCCAAAGUGAAAGACGGUCUUGCUGUCACUAAUCGAUGGACCCGCGCUGCAUUAGCUAGUUGGUAAGGUAACGGCUUACCAGGGCAACGAUGCAUAGCCGACCUGAGAGGGUGAUCGGCCACACUGGAACUGAGACACGGUCCAGACUCCUACGGGAGGCAGCAGUAGGGAAUCUUCCGCAAUGGGCGAAAGCCUGACGGAGCAACGCCGCGUGAGUGAUGAAGGUCUUCGGAUCGUAAAACUCUGUUAUUAGGGAAGAACAUAUGUGUAAGUAACUGUGCACAUCUUGACGGUACCUAAUCAGAAAGCCACGGCUAACUACGUG
This 497-nucleotide ribosomal RNA is filed under the name uncultured bacterium. Its description in RNAcentral is "partial 16S ribosomal RNA". It matches the Rfam family "Bacterial small subunit ribosomal RNA", at positions 38 to 507 of the family's 1533-position model. The record is from RNAcentral.